Molecule: transfer RNA, 77 nt
Filed under: Rhodospirillales bacterium
Lineage: Bacteria; Pseudomonadati; Pseudomonadota; Alphaproteobacteria; Rhodospirillales
Description: tRNA-Asp
Rfam family: tRNA
About the family: Transfer RNA (tRNA) molecules are approximately 80 nucleotides in length.
Source: RNAcentral
GGGGGUGUAGCUCAGAUGGUUAGAGCGCCGGCCUGUCACGCCGGAGGCCGCGAGUUCAAGUCUCGUCACUCCCGCCA